RNAcentral lists this ribosomal RNA (446 nucleotides) under uncultured Corynebacterium sp. RNAcentral describes it as "bacterial SSU rRNA". It matches the Rfam family "Bacterial small subunit ribosomal RNA", at positions 338 to 795 of the family's 1533-position model. The record is from RNAcentral. Lineage: Bacteria; Bacillati; Actinomycetota; Actinomycetes; Mycobacteriales; Corynebacteriaceae.
CCUACGGGAGGCAGCAGUGGGGAAUAUUGCACAAUGGGCGCAAGCCUGAUACAGCGACGCCGCGUGAGGGAUGAAGGCCUUCGGGUUGUAAACCUCUUUCGACAGGGACGAAGCUUUUGUGACGGUACCUGUAUAAGAAGCACCGGCUAACUACGUGCCAGCAGCCGCGGUAAUACGUAGGGUGCGAGCGUUGUCCGGAAUUACUGGGCGUAAAGAGCUCGUAGGUGGUUUGUCGCGUCGUCUGUGAAAUUCCGGGGCUUAACUCCGGGCGUGCAGGCGAUACGGGCAUAACUUGAGUGCUGUAGGGGAGACUGGAAUUCCUGGUGUAGCGGUGAAAUGCGCAGAUAGCAGGAGGAACACCGAUGGCGAAGGCAGGUCUCUGGGCAGUAACUGACGCUGAGGAGCGAAAGCAUGGGGAGCGAACAGGAUUAGAUACCCGUGUAGUC